RNAcentral lists this ribosomal RNA (403 nucleotides) under uncultured bacterium. RNAcentral's name for it is "bacterial SSU rRNA". It matches the Rfam family "Bacterial small subunit ribosomal RNA", at positions 490 to 890 of the family's 1533-position model. The record is from RNAcentral.
GCACCGGCUAACUACGUGCCAGCAGCCGCGGUAAUACGUAGGGUGCAAGCGUUGUCCGGAAUUACUGGGCGUAAAGAGCUCGUAGGUGGUUUGUCGCGUCGUUAGUGAAAGCCCGGGGCUUAACUCCGGGUCUGCUGGCGAUACGGGCAUAACUUGAGUGCUGUAGGGGAGACUGGAAUUCCUGGUGUAGCGGUGGAAUGCGCAGAUAUCAGGAGGAACACCGAUGGCGAAGGCAGGUCUCUGGGCAGUAACUGACGCUGAGGAGCGAAAGCAUGGGUAGCGAACAGGAUUAGAUACCCUGGUAGUCCAUGCCGUAAACGGUGGGCGCUAGGUGUGGGGGUUUUUCACGACUUCCGUGCCGUAGCUAACGCAUUAAGCGCCCCGCCUGGGGAGUACGGCCGCA